UUCCAGUGGAACUCUGUCGGUCAUCUGCACCUUAUGACUUCUGAUCCCCACGGUACGGUCUGGCCAUCGCCUUAUCCCUCCAGUGGUAAUACUCGAGUAUACCGAAACGGUGGCCCAGGGUUCCAACCUACCCGACCGAGCCCAGUCCUGGCUCGAGUAGGUCAGUAACCAAGGGCAGGGCCCAAGUUCAGCUUAGAGCUUACAACAUGCACAGGUAACCAAGUAAUUCGACAAAAGGUAAAAUUCAUCAUUUGAGUAGGUCGAGUGAGGUAAAGUACACACUCGCCUAAUAAUGAUGGACAGCUUCAUAUAACAUGUGAUUCAUGAUAAUCAAGUAAUCAGGUGGUCAAGUAACCAAGUAAGUUGGUGAUCACGUAAGCAGAUAACCAAGUAAGCAAGUAACCAAAUAGAUUAGAAAACGGUAAGUAAACACGGGUUAACGGUAAACGGUAAACGGUUAACGGUAGUAAUUACGGUUAAUUGGUAGACAUAUGUCAUUUCAAUAGGCCGCCAUUGGCCGUUUUUCACUUUCACCACGUAAGAGUCGAGGAGAUUUACUCCAACCGACUUAUGCUUCCAUAGCAUAAUUAAUCAUUUAAACACAUCAUGUAAAUAUGCUCUCCAAACAUUUCAUAUCUAGUAUUUCAAGUAAUCACAUAAGUAUGCUCUUUAAGCAUUUCAUAUCGAAUAGUUCAAAUAUACCUACUUCAGGUGUUUCAUGUCGAGUAAUUCAAGUAUACAUUAUUCAAAUGUGCAUGAGUGUGGUAAAUACUUAAUGACCAUGGGUUAAGCAUGUCAUAGACUUAUUCCAAUUACGUAUUCCUAUAUGGAACACUCACCUAGUCAAAACAAGCGAGUAGUUCUUAAACAAGCGUCUUAGGUGUCCGCUCCGAGUUCCUCUGGGAGAUUCCCUCGAGUGCCUGAGCAAACAAUAAUCAACUACCACUCAAAAUCAUUCUAAUUAUCGAGGAAAAUUGUACACUAGUACAAUCUAAGAAAUUAAUGCAGAGACGAGUCUAAGAGUUCGUGUAACUCGAGGUUCAAAAGUGGGUUUUAAAAUACAAGACAAAUCUGAUUUCCAUCUUUGAAAUCAAAUGUAAAACGAUCAAAUGAUAUUGAAGGAAAAUGGAGAGUUUGAAACCCUUAGUUUCCUUUAAGUUAGAAAAUUCCAGAUUUAACAAGCAAUAUUUGAAAAAUCAUAUUUCACUCUCCACAAGUCCAAAAUUGGAAAACUUGGUACUGUUGGAAUCCUCUUUCAAAGUACUAAAAGUUCUUAGAAGACACUUUUCCACGAAUGUAAGUGAAAGGCACUCAAAUUUUGGCUCAAAGUUGGUAACUUGAAUUACCAAGACAGAUUUAAGUUGGUUUUUGGCCAACUUUAGAAAUUCGGAAAAAUUCACUUGUUUUGAACUAACCUUUGAAAUUUGGAAAUCAAUUAGUGUUGCAAUCCAAGAGUAUAACAAAACAAGCGGAACGAGAAACGGAGUUUCGAGCACCAAGAUAUAGUACCUCAAAGUUGCUGAAAAAGUUAAGACUGUUGGGCUAUUUUCCAGGUUUAAAACUAGAUUUGAAAUAUCAUUUGGUCAUCAAGUUGGCAUUAGAAAUACAUCAAACUUGGUACACUAAAUCUUCCAUGUGUGAACAACAUUUCUACUAAGUUUCGUACAAAAACUCUCACGGUAAGGUAGUCAUUAAAACAACCAAAGUUUAUGAAGAGUUUCAAGGUUAAACUACCUUCUCACUUUUCUUUCGUUUACAAACUUUUUGUACCAUGAAAUCAGUUCCAAAUCUCUCCAUUAUUGAAACCAAGAGUUCAUAAACAUCCACUGAGCAAUUUAAAGACCAUUGACAUCCAAAUUCUAGAAAUAAAACUCUCCAAAUCAGAUUUGACCAUUUGGCUAAGAGAAAACGAAAAGUUUUCCAGAUUCGAUGAGCAAAUUUUGUGACAUCAUUUGCAUAUCAAAAUGGUCUUAGAAUAUUACCAAAUUUUGUACAAUUAAACCUCCAUAUGAGGAUUACUCUUCUAUCAAAUUUCAUUUGAAAAUUCACACGGGAAGGUAGUUAACUAAACCAUCAAAGUUCAGGAAAUUUCCCAAGGUAAAACUUUCUUCUAGCUCUUCUUUCCUUUUUAAACAUUUUGUCCAAAGCAACCAACCCAAAUCUGGUUUAUUUGUGAAACAAAGUCCAAGGAACAUCUAAUCUAAAGUUUGGUAGAUGUCGGACAUCAAAGUUUCCAAAACAACAAGUCCCAAAUCAUUGUUAGUUACAAAUCUGUCCAAGUGGAAAAUUCUAUCACUGUAGCAGUUUCAAACUUUGGCCACAACUCACUCCAUUCAACUUGGAAUUGGGCGUGGUUGAUGGCGUUGGAAAGCUCUCUUCUAAAGCUGAAUUUUCUCAGAAGAAACCAUUUCAAAUUCCAUUCACAAAUAGCUCGUUUUUGAGCAUCAAGAAGCAAUUUCUGUCCUGUCUCCUGGAGAGCAACGAAACAGGACAGUGAUAUUCAAUCGAAUGGUGUGGCUCACUCAAGUGGAACCAGAAUGUGAAAUUGGUACCGAUGGAAAGCUAGGAAUGUCUAGUUUCCAAUGCCGCAAACGGCACUUGAUUUCGACAUCAGAACAAAGAGUUAUGGCCGUUACAAAAUGACUGCCUGGGCAAUACGGGAUUCAUUUUCCAGUUUUGCUAACUUUGGCAAUCAACUCAUUUGACCAACCAAAUCAUGUUAUUUUUCAAUGAAAUUUUGUACACACUUACAAUAAUAGAUAAACAACAUAAUCAAUUCAUUAGAAUCUCAAAAUCUGGCACGAAAACGGUCGGACAAGGCAGGGGUAAAACGGUCACUUUUGCUCCAAGCACCUCCUUUGAUUUUCUACCAACAAUACAACAUUAAUCUACUAAUAUAAGCACUAAACCACCAUUAAUUUCAUCAUCCAACAUCAAAUCAGCAACAACCCAAGAGUGGGAGUUCAUAGAGCCCACUUUCACAUUUUUCCAACAAUAUCAAGUCAUCUACUUACAUGCAAGUACUUAGAGAUGCAUAUCUACUACUAUAAAUCAAGUUUCAGGUGAUGGAUCAUGUUAUACCUUCUUAAUGUACUAGAUCAGAAUUUUUGGCCCUCAAAAUGCUCCAAGAAACCGUGAUUUCCAGCACCCUUUUGCAGCUCAAAAUGAUCUCCUAGUGUUAAGCUAAGUGUGGUGCAAGUUUGGUUGAAUUUGGAGAUGAUUUGGUGGUGGUUUUUGUGAGAAGAAAUUUUGAAACUUGGAGGUUGAGAGAGAGAGAGAGAUGGCCGGCUGCUUGGAGCUCAAGAGAGAGAGAGAGUGAUCAGAUUUUAGCUUCCAAGAGAAGAUAAUAACUUGUGGCCACAAAUCACCCAUUAGUCAACUCACAUUAGGGUGCGUUUGGCGCGAUUCGGCUCGAUUCCUCUUGCGUUUGUUUCACUAGUACACUAAACCUCUAAUGCACUUAUAUUCAUAUAAAUUAUUAUUCACUCUUAAUUGUCCCAAAAUAAGGGUCUAAAGUUCCUAAAUUAAAUCGCGCGCGUAAAACGCGUACUUCCAAUUUAAGCGCAAUAACGCGAAACUUCCGAGAAAUUCUUAUAACGAUAGUACUAAUAACUGUCACUUGAGUAUUUAAACAUUAAAAUGCCUAAUUUAGGUCCGUUGUACAUGUCUCCAAUAUUUCAAACCUAUUGUACUCUCAAUUAGUCAAGAUUUCCAAAGACGUGUUCACUAUUUUCACUAAACGAACUUCCGGAAAUUAAUUUUUUGAAACAAGUCAUUUUAAAAAUAUAAUGAAACUAUAUUUCCAUGUAAUUAGGUCUCAAGAGCUUAGAAAAUAAUAUUCGGAGUAAAAGACCAAAUAAAUAAUUAAAUAAGCUAGAAAUAGGAGAUUAAAUAAGUAAAUUUUGCGGGUCCUCACAACCUCCCCUCCUUAAAAGAAUUUCGUCCUCGAAAUUCAUACCUUCUGUAAUCUCAGACAACUCUGAACCGUGUGGUGUGUUCAUGUCAUGCGUUCUUUCAGAUGCCAUUGGUCGGUUUCUCCUUCCAUUGACUUGUCGAGGAACAGUUCCAUUUCCUUGUUGAGCAGUAGUUUCUCGUGGAUACCUCCUUGGACAGUCAUGAACUUUAUGAUUGGUACUCCCACAUCCCAUACACUUUCGUCCCUUUAGCCAACAGUUUUCUUCAGUGUGAUUCGUCCUUCCACAAUAUCCACAAGUCGGACGAGGUGUUGUGACCUGACUUGCUUGCGAGGUUUUCUUUGAUCGUGUUUGUCCUACUGAAGUCCCUCGUGACAUAGUUCCUUUUGGUUCCUUUAUCAUGAGUGGUGCAGGAAGUAACAGUCCUACUUCAUCCACUUCUUUUCUAACUUUGGGUGGUGGUCCAUUUUUUCCUAGUGUACUGUCAGAUGUAUCUCUUUUCCUUUUUUGAAAAGCUCUCAGUUGAGAUUUUGUGCUUUCUACCCUUUGCGCUUUUUCAAGAGCGUCACUAAAUGUUUCAACCUGUGCUGCGGCAAGGGCAUCUUGGAUUUCCAAAUCUAAUCCUUGGAUAAACCGUCUUAUUCUCUUCCGUUCAGUAGCCACCAAUUCUGGGGCAUAUGUAGAUAACUUCGUAAAGCGUGUUUCAUACUCAGCUACGCUUAAAGUUCCUUGACGAAGCUUUAUAAAAUCAUCUUCUCUCUUUUCUUGGACAAGUGGAGGAAGAAAUUUCUCAUUAAAUUCACGCACGAAGUUUAUCCAAAUUCUCGGAGUUUGAUCUCUUUCCCACUUGUUUCUUAUAACAUUCCACCAUGCUCGGGCUGCUCCUUCAAGUUGAAAUACAGCAAAUGUGACUUGUCUCUCCUCUGUGUAAUCCAAGGCAUCGAAUAUAUUUUUUAUAUUUUCUAACCAAUUCUCAGCCACCUCUGGAUCAGGCCCUCCAGCAAACUUGGGCGGAGAGAAUUUCUGAAACCGCUCUAAAGCUCGAUCCUCCCCUAUCUCUUGGUUUCCACGUUGGUUUCCUUGUCCAACACCUUGACCUUGUUGAGCUACCAAGAGCUCUAGGAUAUCCGUCAUGCGAGUUAAAACUUGUCCUAUCUGGUCAUUUCCUCUCCCAGUACUUAGCUCAACGUUUUGAUCGAUAUCGGACCCAUUAGCUACUCUUUCAUUUCGGGGUUGUCUAGGUUGACGUCCCUUUCGUUGUCCUCUAGUUUUCAUGUCCACAACUAAUCUAUACGCACAUGCAUAACCCUCACACUUAGUUAAAAUUGAACUACACUCAUAUACCAGUAGCAACAUUUAAAGGGGAUGAAGACACUUUCAUAAAUAACAUUAUCACUAUGCAAGUAAACACAAACUAGAGUUCAUUAAAUCAUAACACAAAUUAUGGUCAAGUAAAGUUCAUGCCAAGUCAAAGUCAAUAACAAAAAUAAACAAGUGAUUAUCACAAGUACAUUCAUCUCCAAGGCGCAAACUCUUAAGUUCUACUCCCAUCGUCUCACUAUGAAAGAUCACCAGUAGAGAUUCACUAGAUUAAUUGGAACUAGACGAUUCUCGUUCCCUAACAUGCUCGAUUUCAAUCCCAACACAAGGAUCUUUUGGGUUACGAUAUUUUUCAUCUUCCACUCUUAAUUAUUGUACCAUCUUAACCAAACAAUUAUUGGUUUCCUGUAACCAUUCACAUGAAAUAUCGAUUCAUUCUUAUUCCCCACAAAUGGAGAUAUAAAGUCCCUAUGGUUGCUUUCCACUCCCAAGUACUCGGGUUCAAGAAUCCAAAAUAGGAUAAUUCACAUCUCGAGCCGGCCGGUCCCAAGAGUAAAUCACCACAUUCGAGAUUCCUACCCAACAUACAUAUCAAAUUCCCUCCAAUUAUCAAGAUAAAGGUUUUACAACCUAUAACAUUCAUGAUUCACAACUUACAUUUCUAGAAGGGCACUUAAGUCUUUACUUAAUCACAUAGUAAGGACCAAACACCACUUGGCCCUAUCUUGCUCCUUUGUAGAGACCACGUGAAGUGGCUCUAAAUUUCAUCACUACAAGAAAUCAUUUAACUUUCAGAAUAGUCCCACAGUCCGGCAUCCUAAACAUUUAAGCCUAGGAUACACUACAAAAUCUGAAGCCUAAACUCUGAUACCAACUGUAACGCCCCCACUUCUCCCUAAGGCGAACCAAAGGGUAUCUGCGGGACGCCUGCCCAGCUCUCGCCAGGACUCACUACAAUCCAUCAUUCAAAAGUUUGAAAUAAUUUAAGUAACCUCAAUGCAUAAUUAAAGUACUCCAAAUAUCUCACACUUACAAUUAUGCAGCUUCCAAGCUUAAAUACAACCCAACGGAAAAGGGUACAAUAGCCAUCCGUUAUAAUAUAACUUAAAGUUUUCAAAAGAAAACAAUCUAGUACUACUCACGAGCACCCUUGGUCUCGAACCCUGUAAAAGAAAACCACAACGUGGGACGAGCUACAUAGCCCAGUGAGGUUCCAAGACACUCUAACAGUUCAAAUAAAUCAAGUAAAUUGGGUAUAUCAUAUGCAUGGUUCAAGGUUGCACAAUGGCAUGUUAUCAUGAGGUGAUAAUCAUUGUACGAGUAAUUUGAGACAUUUAUCAUGAGACAGGUAUCAUGAUAUAAGUACAUUGGUCAGGUUAAACAGGUCAUGAGAUAUCCACAGGCCAUAGUUCAGGAUUUCAUGUUGGCAUUCUGUAUGCAUGAAACAAUUAUCAUGUACAACGGCUAACAGAUACCGGUUUAGGAUACGUUGUUCCAGUGGGAACUCCUGUCGGUCAUUGCACCAUUAUGACUUCUGCCAUUCCCACGCGUACGGUCUGGCAUCGUCUUACUCCCUCCAGUGUAAUACUCGGAGGAUAUACCGAAACGGUGUAUGGCCAGGGGUUUCCAAACCUAACCACGACGAGACCCAGUCCUGGCCUCGAGUACUGGCAUCGGGUCAGUAACCAAGACGGCAGGGCCAAGUUCAGCUUAGAGCUUACAAGAUGCAAGGUAACGCAAGUUAAUUCGACAAAAGGUUUAAAUUCAUCAUUUGAGUAGGUCGAGUGAGGUAAAGUACACACUCGCCUAAUAAUGAUGGACAGCUUCAUAUAACAUGUGAUUCAUGAUAAUCAAGUAAUCAGGUGGUCACGUAACCAAGUAAGUUGGUGAUCACGUAAGCAGAUAACCAAGUAAGCAAGUAACCAAAUAGAUUAGAAAACGGUAAGUAAACACGGUAAACGGUUAACGGUAGUAAUUACGGUUAAUUGGUAGACAUAUGUCAUUUCAAUAGGCCGCCAUUGGCCGUUUUUUCACUUUCACCACGUAAGAGUCGAGGAGAUUU
This 7296-nucleotide long non-coding RNA is filed under the name Coffea arabica (coffee). Its description in RNAcentral is "long non-coding RNA (CARA_LNC007365)". The record is from RNAcentral. Lineage: Eukaryota; Viridiplantae; Streptophyta; Magnoliopsida; Gentianales; Rubiaceae.